Molecule: long non-coding RNA, 1536 nt
Organism: Vollenhovia emeryi
Lineage: Eukaryota; Metazoa; Arthropoda; Insecta; Hymenoptera; Formicidae
Exons: 2
Source: RefSeq, a predicted model, not a curated record
UAUUCUCCUCUAUCGAAUUAAAAAAAGAUUGACUUGCUGUAUUGAGAGCAACUCACGUCUAUAUAAGUUGCUCUCAAUAUAGCAGGUCAAUCUUUUUUUAAUUCGAUAGAGGAGACUAAGAAUUGUCGACUUUAUUUUGAUGCUGUCUUACUUUUAUACUAAAUGAGGUUGUGAGAAAUAUAAGUGCGUCGAGAAUAUUUUUUGUCUCGGUAACGUAAGUCCUUUCUGAGGGCGUUCCUUCGCGCGGACGAGGCGGUUUUUGAAGAUCAAGCUGAAGCGACCGGAGCGUCGAUGCGAGACUUCGUUCACCGUGUUCGCCAAGUCAAGCACAUGUGAUUUGUGACUUGCGUAAUAUGUCUUAAUCUAUCGCCGACGGUCACAUGCAGUCUGUAAUCACUUGCGCCGCCGAUAAGAGGGGCGUAUGCUACAAUGACUGCCGGCGAACGCUUGCGAGCAAAUAAAUAUCAAUAAAUCAUCUGUAUCCUCCUAUUUUCUAUUUACUCUUACUCUAAUGCGUUUAUUUGCCUCGAUCGCACGCGUGCAUUGUGAACUUGGUAAAGAGAUUUUCGAAAACGUCUGGAUGUUCCGCGAUUUUAUUCCGAGAUUAUUUCUCACGUUUCCCCGCGCCGCUGAAAGGGGCGGAUUUAUUUCGACAACAUACGUGACUUAGUCCAGCAACUUAGUAAAUUUAAUUAGAAAAUUUUUCAGGCUUCGUGACAAAAGUCUUUCGGUAAUGACGGUCGUGCGAUCAUCGCCGACGCCAGAAAUCGGGAUUUUCCCAAUUUUCGGGGGACUCGGGCGUGCGGAAAAUCGUCGGGCAGCUCGAUGAUACCGAUCUGUCCGCGAGAGACGCGACACGCCGUCUGCCCCGUGCCCUGACGAGGAGUGCAACGAGCAUGAACGCCGGCGUGAAAAUAAGCGGAAUUAAAGAAAACAAGACGCACGCCGAGGAGCACAUGACUGCUCGGAUUGAUAGCGGUAAACUCGUGACCACGAUAAACUACUGCGAACAAUUUCAUCGGCCAUAACCGGCCACGUACGUGUUCAGUCCUUCGCCGGCAUGUCCAGGAACAGGAAUUACGAGACGUUCGCCAGCAGCGCGGCAGACGUAUCGUCGCCGCCGCCACCCGAGCAUACGACUCGUCAUGCUCGAAUUUGCGAUAAUGACCGUCGACCGCAACGAUAUUGGCUGAUUCUGGAGGUAACGGGGCCAGAGAGCGAAGCAGCGCUCUCUCAAAUAAUCUUCACGCUCGAUGGACUUCUCAACAGGCCCCUUAAUUUGAAUAACGUUAAAUAUAAUUAUAAGUACAAUCGUUUUAUUAAAAACAAUUACAUAUUUAUAUUUUAUCACAUCGAAUUAUUCUGACAAUAUGUACAAUGCGGUUUAAGUUCACAUUAUAUACAUUUGUACAUUUACGUGCAAGAUACGUACACAAAAUACGUGCAAGAAUACGAUAUUCAAUUUAUUUGCGCAGGACAAAUUGUGCGUUUAUUCGAAUGGAAUUUUUUUAAAAGGUGCUAAAAGAGUUUUUUAAA